CAUUUCUUUCUUCAGCUUUGAAUGUUCUCUUUGAUAGGCUUGCUCCUCAGGGUGAUCUACUCAACAUGUUUCAGAAGCAUAAGUAUGAUGUUCGUCUCUUAAAGAAGCUGAGAAUGACUUUGCUUGGCCUUCAGGCUGUGCUAAGUGAUGAAGAGAAUAAGCAGACAUCAAAUCGACACCUGAGCCAGUGGCUUAUUGAGCUUCGCGAUGCUGUGGACGGUGCUGAAAACUUAAUAGAAGUCAAUUAUGAAGCUUUGAGACUUAAGGUAGAAGGCCAAAAACAAAAUCUUGCAGAAACAAACAACCAUCAAGUGAUACAAGACAAACAAGAGAAAACUAGGAAUCACAGACCAAAACAGUCCACAAGUUAAGAAACCGAGGACUAUCUUGGUGACCACACUCGGAUUCGCUAGUGAUAACAAUAAUGGAGAGAAUAUCACGUGUUUAACACAAUAAUCAGCCAGCCCCAACUAAGAUUAACAACAAUAUAUGAAGCACAAGAUGAACAUAACAAUGUGAAGAACACAACAAGACAAACGGCUCACAAUACAAGAUACCAAACCGUGACAAGAUUACAAAAAUGUAAAUGAUAGAAAGAUAGACAUACACUACUACAAAGUCUAAGAACCUAAUGUGUUCUCAAACACAAAGACCCUAAACAAUGAAAGUAGCAACACCUACACUCUUCAAAGAACACAAGAGGGAACUCAAUCCUUCAAGCAUCCAAGGUUCCAAGCAAACAAACAACAAGAGUGAAUUCACACUCUAAUUGUUACCUAGUUUCGGCCAAGCCCUUUUUGGGAGAGAACUUGUGUGUUUCAAGAGUGAGAUCAAUAUUCAAUAUCCAAAAACUAAGUGAAUAAACCCUAACAUGUUCCUUAUAUAUUACAAAACAAAUAGAAGUUAAAAUGACCCAAAAGGCCCUUCAAGAAUGGGCUGCCCCUCUAGUGUAUGGAGUGGGCUGUUUUGGUGUGUAUUUGGGCCUUUAAUUACACUUCUCUUUCACAUACACUUGGUAGCUUUCAAUUCAAACCCACAUAAGUCUAUUUCCGUGAUUAUUCUCGUAUCAAGAGAUAAGAGAGUUACAAUCAGUAAUAGAUAAUAUAACAAUCUGCUUCAUUCCAUGAAGUUGUGAUGUAAACAGCUCAGCGUCAUAAAAAAGAACCCCAACCUUAGGAGAACCAGUAACGUAAAACUCUUUUAAACUUGAAAGUUGGAGGGGUGUCUCCAAACUGAGUUCAGGGUAUUUUGAAAUUGUAAGGUUCUGAAGUGUGGGAAACUCUCCAUUCCCUGGUAUAUGCCACUGCUUCCACUCCGGCAUCUCAGCAAAUUCAACUUCCUCGAGAGAGUUAAAGGGCUUUUUGGAGGACAAGCUACCAUAUAAUUAUUUCGUUACCUCAGUUAUUCGAUGCAUCCCUCUAAUGGAAAGGAAUUUCAAAGAAGGAAGUUGUCCUAGUACUACAAGGAAAAACAGUUCUUUCAGGUUCUAAGAGACAAGUGUACUAGCAGCUUAAGAAACGAAUGAUCAGCUAGCCAAUUUGGAAAUUUUGUCCCUCUAAAUCUGGUGAUUUGGAGUUUUUUAUGUCUGUGUGCGGGCGUAGCUCAUCAAGUAUGUCUCUUUUCAGUUUGUGAAUUGUCCUCAGCACUUUCACUCCACUCCAAUGAUAGUUUUUCAACAUGAUUCUUCUCCCUUAUGUUUGCCUUCAAAGAUUCCCUUCUGUUAACCACAUUUUGCAACUCUAGAAUUGAUAGAGAUCCAUACAAGUUAUGUAGUUCACCCAAAUAUUCCAUUCUCAAACCACCUAAAAGAAACUUGGCUCCCACUAGCACUUGGAGGCUUUUCAACUUGCUCAGAUGUAGCGGCAUCUUCAAGCGAGAAGUGUUGUUUAUGUCAAGAUAACGCAAGUUGAUUAGCUUUUUCAUCUGCAGCGGUAGCUCAUCAAGAUAUCUACAAGAUAUAGGAGAAGUGUCUCUAAGUUAUAUAAUACACAAAUGGAAUUUGGUAACAUUUUAAUCAUUGUCCAAGAAAGGUCCAAAAAUCUCAGGAGCUUUAAUUUGAUAAAAAAGUCAUCCGGCAACUCCUUAAUCUUGUAAUGAGACAAUGAUAAUGCCCUUAAGGAUCUUAGUGUUGGAAGCAUUUUAUGCAGCACCCUCUUGCUUAGAGGAAUUCCAUUAUAGUGUUGGAUAUUUAUUGGAAGCAAUGUCCUCAACUGCUCCAAUUUGUAGAGGGGUGUCAAUUUCUCAAAAUCACCAGCAUAACCCAUUGAAUAUGAUAAAUGUCGACUUUUUUCCAACAUAUGAAAUCCUUGGCUCUCUUCCAACCCAAUACAAUGUUUUGAAGAUGCAAUUUGGGCUAAGUCAUUGACAAGGUCAUGCAUUAAGAAUUUCUCUAUGUUCCCUUGAGAAGGUUUCAAGACUCUUUCGAAUAAUGAUCUUGAUCUCAACUCGAGAAAGUAUUGGUUCCCUAUAUCUUGAAUUGUUUCAUCUUCCUGUGGUAUAAGACCAUUCGCAAUCCACAAAUGAAUAACUUGUUCUAUGCUAAAUGGAUAAUCUUUGGGAAAUAUUGCACAAUAGGAAAAACAUCGCUUUAAAUGUGUGGGAAGAUCAUUGUAACUCAACAUCAAUGCUGGCAAUAUGUCAUUGUCUGGUAGCUCCCAUAUUUCACUUCUCAAAAUACGUUGCCAUCCUUCAACCUCUGAUUUAGAGCGUAACAUGCCAGCGAGCGUCUUUAGAGCUAAGGGUAGUCCUUUGCACUUAGCUGCAAUUUGUUUUCCGACCUCUUCAAGUUCCGGAUGUCCCAUAGGAUCCGUGUUUUUAAAUGCAUGCCUUUUGAAUAAAGAUCAAGAGACUUCAAUAGACAAAUUGUUCAUGCUAAUUUUCUUAUUUUCUAUCAUCAAGGCAAGACUCUCUUUACGUGUUGUUACAAUGAUAUUACUUCCUAUAUUUCCUUGUACAAAAAGAUUUCUCAAGUCAUCCCACUCAUUAUAGUUAUCAUUCCACACGUCAUCAAGGACAACAAGAAACCUUUUUCCCUUUAGGCUUUGCUUCAGUUUGACUUGUUGCUGAUUAAAAUUGUCAUCAACCACUAAACCGAUUUCUUGAAGUAACCCUUUUAUUAUUCUGAGAGCAUCAUAUUUCUCAGACACACAAAACCAGGCUUUCAAAUCAAAAUGGUCUUUCACCGUAUCAUCAUUGUAAACUGCUUUUGCAAGUGUUUUCUUGCCCAGGCCGCCCAUUCCAACAAUAGGAACUACAGUCAGACUUUCUCCAUUUGCAUCCUUAGACAAUAAACGGUCAAUCAAGUCUUCUAUUUCAUUCUGCCUACCAAAGACAUCAGAUUCAUCCACCAAAGAAGUUGAAGGUCUUCUAGUUUCUUGUUUACUCAAAUCAAAAUGCUCCUUUAAGCCAAGACGGCCAAUUUGAUUUUCCAACUCCUCCAAUGUUUCAAUGGCAUCUUCCAACUUCUCCUCUAUGUUAAGAAAGAAAUCAUCAAUCAAGAGCAGGUUGAGGUCACUUACUUGCUGAUACAAGACAAACAAGGAAGUAUCAAAACAUACUCCAAAAACGUCCACAAAUCUUAAGGACCCGAGGACCUUUUUGGAGACUACUCUCGGAUUCACUAUUAACAGCAAGAAUACAAGAUAUAAUGCAGUAUUUGACACCAAAUCAGCCACCACAAACUAACAAAGAUAUUAACAAGAUGAACAUUAACUCAAUGGAAACAACAAUACACGGUUUUGACUAGAACAACACAAACUAGUACAUGAUAUGUAAAGAUAGGAAGUGAGACAUACACUAUUACAAGAUUAAGAACCCAAAGACGUAUUAAAUCUAAGGAACCCUAAGACUUACAAUAGCAACACCACACUCUUACGUGACACGAGAGGGAUUCCACCGCUCAUGCCCCAAUGUUUCCAAGCAAUACACAAUCACAACUGAAUCCACACUUGUUCAUAUCCUAGUUUCGGCCUAGAGACCCUCUCUCUCAAGAGAUGUGUUCUUCAAUAAUAUUCUUGUUCAUAUCCUAGUUUCGGCCUAGAGACCCUCUCUCUCAAGAGAUGUGUUCUUCAAUAAUAUUCAAUAACUAAGGAACUAAAACCCUAUAUUGUUCUAUUUAUAGUACUUUACAAAUAAAAAGAUAAAAUCUCAAAAAAGCCCUUUAAUGACCAAGUAGGCAAAUAGGCACCCAUAGAGUGUUUUUAGGGGCGGUUUGAAGCCCUUUUUAACACUUCACUCGUACACCUCCGAGGUUACAUCCAAAAUACUCAAAAACGUUCAUCUUCAUGAUCAUGCUUGUAUCACCUCCUUACCUAUUAGCAUUCUGCCCAACACCUUGAACAGAAUAAUGGUAUCUCGUUGCCAGAAAUUGAAAUUGGAGAUGCCGGUUGGUUAUUGUAACAUGUUUCUAGAGGAAUUGAGACUCGAUGAAUACGAUUCUAUAGAUGAUACAUCAUCACCUGCGUAUGAGUUGGUCCCAAGAGCACGCAUAUUGUGGGUAGAGUAUUGCCACAACCUUACUAAGUUAUUGAUUCCUACUGGGACUGAAAGACUCUUUAUUGGGGAUUGUGACAAUCUUGAAAUACUUUCGGUGGCAGGUGGGACUCAGAUAAUUUCAUUGUAUAAUGGGGAUUGUGAGAAGCUGAAGCGGCUGCGAGAACAUAUGCACGAACUCCUUCCAUCUCUUAAGAUCCUAAAACAGGAGAAUUGUCCAAAAAUAGAGUCCUUUCUUAAAGGAGGAUUGCCCUUCAAUUUACAGGUUGUUUGGACGGUGGUUUUCUAUGGUAUGGUAUAGUAUGAUUUUCAAGGAAACCAUGUCUGUUUUGAUUAUUUUUUAAAAGGUAUAGUAUGGUAUGGUAAUCCUUCAUACUUUGGGAACCAUGGAAUAGUACAAUUUUUAGAACCACCAAUUUGGUGGUUUUCCAUGAUUUUCUUAUUUAUUUUUUCAACUAUACCCUCACAUAAUAUUUUCUAUUCUUAUUUUACCCUUUAUCCCAUUUUACUUAUAACCUUAAUAUGUUAUAAUUUUUAAGCAUAAUUAUUUCCCAAGCAAAAAAAAUUAUUAUUAAACAGUAGUGAAUGAUAUACUCUAUCCAAAUAUAGUACCGUACCAUAUCAUAUCAUACUGUACCGUAUAUUAUCAAACCAGGCAAACCACCGUCCAAACAAAGUGUUAGAAGUCCUUCAGAUUUUCAAUUGCAAGAAACUGGUGAAUGGUUGAAAGGAUUGGCAUUUACAGAGACUCCCCUGUCUCAGACUGUUACAUAUUGAACAUGAUGGCAGGGACGAAGAGAUUCUUGCUAAAGAGAAUUGGGAGUUGCCUUGCUCUAUUCAAACUCUUCGCAUAUCCAAUCUGAAAACACUAAGCAGUCAAAUUCUUAAAUGCCUCACCUCUCUUGAAUCUCUACAUAUUGGUAAUUUACCUCAAAUUCAGUCACUGCUGGAACAAGGGCUUCCCUCCUCUCUCUCCGUGCUGUCUGUACGGAAUUGCCCUAAUCUCCAAGCCCUUCCAGUAAAACGGUUACCCUCUUCCCUCUCUACACUAUUUAUUCACG
Molecule: long non-coding RNA, 5552 nt
Filed under: Capsicum annuum
Lineage: Eukaryota; Viridiplantae; Streptophyta; Magnoliopsida; Solanales; Solanaceae
Description: long non-coding RNA (CANN_LNC016825)
Source: RNAcentral